This 157-nucleotide ribosomal RNA is filed under the name uncultured Gammaproteobacteria bacterium. RNAcentral describes it as "partial 16S ribosomal RNA". The record is from RNAcentral. Lineage: Bacteria; Pseudomonadati; Pseudomonadota; Gammaproteobacteria.
UGUCGGUAACGUCAAAGUAGCAACGUAUUAAGUUACUACCCUUCCUCCCAACUUAAAGUGCUUUACAAUCCGAAGACCUUCUUCACACACGCGGCAUGGCUGGAUCAGGCUUUCGCCCAUUGUCCAAUAUUCCCCACUGCUGCCUCCCGUAGGAGUA